This 24-nucleotide small nuclear RNA is filed under the name Arabidopsis thaliana (thale cress). RNAcentral's name for it is "snRNA_02078". The record is from RNAcentral. Lineage: Eukaryota; Viridiplantae; Streptophyta; Magnoliopsida; Brassicales; Brassicaceae.
AUAAAUAUUGAAUUGAGGGUAAAA